GGUGGUGUGGUGUAAUGGUAGCACGUGACGUUGUGGUCAGACACAUUCGAUCCGUUUCAAUCUGGGUUCGAUUCCCAGCACCGCCA
This 86-nucleotide transfer RNA is filed under the name Blumeria hordei DH14. RNAcentral describes it as "tRNA-His for anticodon GUG". It matches the Rfam family "tRNA". Rfam says of the family: Transfer RNA (tRNA) molecules are approximately 80 nucleotides in length. Lineage: Eukaryota; Fungi; Ascomycota; Leotiomycetes; Helotiales; Erysiphaceae. The record is from Rfam by way of RNAcentral.